GGAGAUCGUCAGUUUUUUGGACCAGAUCUGACCAAAGAGUCCGAAGAGAAGGUUAAGUUGAUUCGAGAUAGACCGAAGGUAGCUCAGUCCAGGCAAAAGAGUUAUGCCGAUACCAAAUGCAAGGAGGUAGUCUAUGAAAUUGGAGAUCGAGGGUAUCUUCGAGUGUCACCACUGCCACGAGUUAAACGAUUUGGAGUUAAGGGAAAGUUAGCCCCGAGGUUUGUAGGACCAUGCCGAGUUUUGGAACGUAUGGGAGAGGUUGCCUACAAAUUGGAGUUACCCGAAGGAUUUUCAGGAGUUCAAGAUGUGUUUCAUGUUUCCUAG
Molecule: ribosomal RNA, 324 nt
Filed under: Triticum aestivum (bread wheat)
Lineage: Eukaryota; Viridiplantae; Streptophyta; Magnoliopsida; Poales; Poaceae
Description: partial small subunit ribosomal RNA
Source: RNAcentral